RNAcentral lists this ribosomal RNA (507 nucleotides) under uncultured bacterium. RNAcentral describes it as "partial 16S ribosomal RNA". It matches the Rfam family "Bacterial small subunit ribosomal RNA", at positions 28 to 506 of the family's 1533-position model. The record is from RNAcentral.
GACGAACGCUGGCGGCGUGCCUAAUACAUGCAAGUCGAACGCUUCUUUCCUCCCGAGUGCUUGCACUCCAUUGGAAAGAGGAGUGGCGGACGGGUGAGUAACACGUGGGUAACCUACCCAUCAGAGGGGGAUAACACUUGGAAACAGGUGCUAAUACCGCAUAACAGUUUAUGCCGCAUGGCAUAAGAGUGAAAGGCGCUUUCGGGUGUCGUUGAUGGAUGGACCCGCGGUGCAUUAGCUAGUUGGUGAGGUAACGGCUCACCAAGGCCACGAUGCAUAGCCGACCUGAGAGGGUGAUCGGCCACACUGGGACUGAGACACGGCCCAGACUCCUACGGGAGGCAGCAGUAGGGAAUCUUCGGCAAUGGACGAAAGUCUGACCGAGCAACGCCGCGUGAGUGAAGAAGGUUUUCGGAUCGUAAAACUCUGUUGUUAGAGAAGAACAAGGACGUUAGUAACUGAACGUCCCCUGACGGUAUCUAACCAGAAAGCCACGGCUAACUACGU